CAAGAGCCAACAUGUCUCAGAGAUUGUUUUUGCUUCUGCAUCCUAUCCGGGCAGAUAGAGUGACACUGAAGAAGGCAGUCUUGAAGAUGUAAUCCUCCGGGAUACAAGAUAGAGCAUUAUUCAAGAGAGUUCUGCAAGCAAAGAAUGAACGUAGCGUAUUGAGACUCUGCAGCAAGGAUCAGAGGCAUUAAACUUUCAUUGGCAAAGAGAGUUCUGCAAGCAAAGAAUAAAUGUGGAGCAUUCAAGAGAGCUCUGCAGCCAGGAUCAGAGAUAAAAACAUUGCAGAAGUAGCUAACUUGGUCAGCAAAGUAUAUUGAAGUUAAAUAUUG
Non-coding RNA from Pelodiscus sinensis (Chinese soft-shelled turtle), 329 nucleotides. The record is from RefSeq and is a predicted model, not a curated record. NCBI's taxonomy places the organism in Eukaryota, Metazoa, Chordata, Testudines, Trionychidae.